RNAcentral lists this long non-coding RNA (1318 nucleotides) under Nicotiana tabacum (common tobacco). RNAcentral's name for it is "long non-coding RNA (NTAB_LNC004724)". Lineage: Eukaryota; Viridiplantae; Streptophyta; Magnoliopsida; Solanales; Solanaceae. The record is from RNAcentral.
GUCAUUUAGUUUUUUACAAAGUUAGAAUGUCGCCAAAAAGCACUGGAUAAUAGUACUUAAUCAAGCUUAAACAACACUUGACAUUUAUUACAGGAUCUUCAUAGCUGUCUACUCAUAGUAAAAGAACAGAAAGAACUAUUAAUCUUUAUAGCUGUUCUGGUGAGACAACAGUAAGAAACACACCAGACCUUUAUUGAUUUAAGGAAAAACUAGCAACUAAAUGCAGCUCCUACGGUGUACAGGAGGUACGUGGUGGCAAUGGGCCAUGGUACGUAGAAGGUGGCAGGUUUGUUGGUGGGGUGGAUGGUCUAGUUUAUGGAGUGAGCAGAAGCCCAUAUGGAGGAGGAGAAGGGGGCGAAUAUGUAGUUGGUGGUGGUGGUGGUUGGCCAUACGUAGGUGUAGGUGUAGGUGUAGGUGGUCGUGGCUGCCUAUGAGGAGGAGGCGGUGAGUGAAUUCGUCUUGGCGGAGGAGGAGAGAUAGUCGGUGGUGGUUGGCCAUAAGUAGGUGUAGGUGUAGGUGGUCGUAGCUGCCUAUGAGGAGGAGGAGGCGAGUGAAUUCGUCUUGGCGGAGGAGGAGAGAAAGUCGGUGGUGGUGACUGCACUUGGCGAGGCGGAGGCGAGUAAAUUGGUGAUGGUGGAGGUGGUGAGUAUGCAGGUGGAGGAGGCGAGUAUGUUGGUAGAGGCGGUGGUGGUUGUGCAUAUGCAGGGGGAGGAGGCGAGUAUGUAGGUGGAGGAGGAGAAUACGUUGGCGGUGGUGGUGGUGAGUAUGCAGGUGGAGGAGGCGAGUAUGUUGGUGGAGGCGGUGGUGGUUGUACAUAUGCAAGGGGUGGAGGCGAGUAUGUAGGUGGAGGAGGAGAAUACGUUGGCGGUGGUGGUGGUGAGUAUGCAGGCAGAGGAGGGGAAUACGCUGGGGUAGGUGGAGGUGAUUGUCCAUAUGCGGGUGGAGGUGGCGAGAGGGAUGGUGGUGGUGGAGGAGGUGAGUAAAUUGGUGAUGGAGGCGGUGGUGAAGGCGAAUAUGUAGGUGGAGGUGGGGAAUACGUUGGUGGUGGUGGUGAGUAUGCAAGCGGAGGAGACGAAUAUGUAGGUGGAGGUGGGGAAUACGUUGGUGGUGGUGGUGAGUUUGCAGGCGGAGGAGGUGAGUAAAUUGGUGAUGGUGGCGGUGGCGAAUAUGUAGGCGGAGGAGGGAAGUACGUUGGUGGUGGUGAGUAUGCAGGCGGAGGAGGCGAGUAAAUUGGUGAUGGUGGCGGUGGAGAGUAUGUCGGUGGAGGAGGUGAGUAUGUUGGUGAGGGCGGAGGUGGUUGUGCAUAUGCAGGUAGAGG